UGCAGGCCUAACACAUGCAAGUCGAGCGGUAGCACAGAGAGCUUGCUCUCGGGUGACGAGCGGCGGACGGGUGAGUAAUGUCUGGGAAACUGCCUGAUGGAGGGGGAUAACUACUGGAAACGGUAGCUAAUACCGCAUAAUGUCGCAAGACCAAAGUGGGGGACCUUCGGGCCUCAUGCCAUCAGAUGUGCCCAGAUGGGAUUAGCUAGUAGGCGGGGUAACGGCUCACCUAGGCGACGAUCCCUAGCUGGUCUGAGAGGAUGACCAGCCACACUGGAACUGAGACACGGUCCAGACUCCUACGGGAGGCAGCAGUGGGGAAUAUUGCACAAUGGGCGCAAGCCUGAUGCAGCCAUGCCGCGUGUGUGAAGAAGGCCUUCGGGUUGUAAAGCACUUUCAGCGGGGAGGAAGGCGUUAAGGUUAAUAACCUUGGCGAUUGACGUUACCCGCAGAAGAAGCACCGGCUAACUCCGUGCCAGCAGCCGCGGUAAUACGGAGGGUGCAAGCGUUAAUCGGAAUUACUGGGCGUAAAGCGCACGCAGGCGGUCUGUCAAGUCGGAUGUGAAAUCCCCGGGCUCAACCUGGGAACUGCAUUCGAAACUGGCAGGCUAGAGUCUUGUAGAGGGGGGUAGAAUUCCAGGUGUAGCGGUGAAAUGCGUAGAGAUCUGGAGGAAUACCGGUGGCGAAGGCGGCCCCCUGGACAAAGACUGACGCUCAGGUGCGAAAGCGUGGGGAGCAAACAGGAUUAGAUACCCUGGUAGUCCAUGCCGUAAACGAUGUCGAUUUGGAGGUUGUGCCCUUGAGGCGUGGCUUCCGGAGCUAACGCGUUAAAUCGACCGCCUGGGGAGUACGGCCGCAAGGUUAAAACUCAAAUGAAUUGACGGGGGCCCGCACAAGCGGUGGAGCAUGUGGUUUAAUUCGAUGCAACGCGAAGAACCUUACCUGGUCUUGACAUCCACAGAACUUUCCAGAGAUGGAUUGGUGCCUUCGGGAACUGUGAGACAGGUGCUGCAUGGCUGUCGUCAGCUCGUGUUGUGAAAUGUUGGGUUAAGUCCCGCAACGAGCGCAACCCUUAUCCUUUGUUGCCAGCGGUUCGGCCGGGAACUCAAAGGAGACUGCCAGUGAUAAACUGGAGGAAGGUGGGGAUGACGUCAAGUCAUCAUGGCCCUUACGACCAGGGCUACACACGUGCUACAAUGGCAUAUACAAAGAGAAGCGACCUCGCGAGAGCAAGCGGACCUCAUAAAGUAUGUCGUAGUCCGGAUUGGAGUCUGCAACUCGACUCCAUGAAGUCGGAAUCGCUAGUAAUCGUAGAUCAGAAUGCUACGGUGAAUACGUUCCCGGGCCUUGUACACACCGCCCGUCACACCAUGGGAGUGGGUUGCAAAAGAAGUAGGUAGCUUAACCUUCGGGAGGGCGCUUACCACUUUGUGAUUCAUGAC
This 1442-nucleotide ribosomal RNA is filed under the name uncultured organism. RNAcentral describes it as "SSU rRNA". It matches the Rfam family "Bacterial small subunit ribosomal RNA". The record is from RNAcentral.